RNAcentral lists this ribosomal RNA (421 nucleotides) under uncultured bacterium. Its description in RNAcentral is "partial 16S ribosomal RNA". It matches the Rfam family "Bacterial small subunit ribosomal RNA", at positions 360 to 773 of the family's 1533-position model. The record is from RNAcentral.
AAUAUUGGACAAUGGGUGCAACACUGAUCCAGCCAUGCCGCGUGUGUGAAGAAGGUCUUCGGAUUGUAAAGCACUUUAAGUUGGGAGGAAGGGCUUUAGGCUAAUACCCUGAAGUUUUGACGUUACCAACAGAAUAAGCACCGGCUAACUCUGUGCCACCAGCCGCGGUAAUACAGCGUGUGCACGCGUUGAUCGGAAUUACUGGGCGUAAAGCGCGCGUAGGUGGUUCAGUAAUAUGGGUGUGAAAUCCCCGGGCUUAACCUGGGAACUGCUUUCAUAACUGCUGAGCUAGAGUACGGUAGAGGGUAGUGGAAUUUCCUGGGUAGCGGUGAAAUGCGUAGAUAUAGGAAGGAACACCAGUGGCGAAGGCGACUACCUGGACUGAUACUGACACUGAGGUGCGAAAGCGUGGGGAGCAAAC